Passer domesticus (house sparrow) is the source of this 1997-nucleotide long non-coding RNA. RefSeq lists it as uncharacterized. The transcript has 3 exons. The record is from RefSeq and is a predicted model, not a curated record. NCBI's taxonomy places the organism in Eukaryota, Metazoa, Chordata, Aves, Passeriformes, Passeridae.
CCGGCCCCGCUUCCCCGGCGCUCCCGGAGUUUGCGGUUUGUUUGCCACGCUUCCGCCGAGGAAGGUGAGCCACAGCGUGCAGGAGGUGCGCAGGGCUGCGGCAGCAAACCGAUACGUUAAGGGAUCUUUCCUGGAUACACCUGAUUAAUUGAUGCUUACGAAGGCAUAACUGAUUCUUCAUGAUGGUGAAACAAUUAAAUUGCUUUCUUGUACAUUCUCUCUGCUGAGGCAGUUGCCCAGUUAAUCUUUCCAGGAUCACACUCAGUUGUGGUUGCUUUGAGGAAUUCUGAAAGAGUUUUUUGUUGCCAAUCCAGCACACUGUUAAUGAGAUGAUAGUAUGUAUUUACAACUAUUUGCCAGCUUUAAAUGCUGAUAUGGUGGAGUAAAAACCUAAAUGAAUUUAUUUUGAAAGAAUCUUAGCAUUGAUUUCCCUUUGAAGUCAUAUGUGCUUGCAGGAGAAAUGAAUGGAAUAAUAUUUUCCCAGAGCUCAAUAGCACGGCAGCUCUUCUAUAAAUUGCCUUGCCAGAGCUUAGAUGUGUGCUCUUAAGUUGUUUAUGACUUAAGUGUGGGCCAGCUACAUGUCUUGAACAUCCUACAAGAACCUCAGCUAUUAUAAAAAAGUUGUUUGUUGUUUCUUUUAUAUUUAAUUUGGCUGCCUUGUCUAAAAAACUUCUGUGACCCCAUUUUACAAAAAUAAUUAUCCUGCUGUUACAAAAAGAAUGUCAAACAGUAUCAAUUUUACUUUAAUUCAGCUAGUGAGUGUGUCAGCAACCACUGAGGCUGAAUUUCUUUCUGUCUUUCUGCCACUUUAACCUGGCAGCAGGUAACCACUCCUCCUCCCAUAACCAGGCUGAAGUUCUGUCCCUACAGUCAGUUUGCAAGGGAGGAUCCAUUGAUCAUUACAUCUUUGUUUUCCCGGUGGGGACAGCAGCAAUUCGGAGUUCACGGACACUGCAGAACAAAGAGAAUGUUAAUCUUUGCUUUUCAAACCAUAAAAGCAGCUGAGCCCUUCUUGGUGCCAGGUGAGGAGAGGGGCAUUCAAGGUGUGAGGCAUGCACUAGGUUGCUGUUUUCUCAAAGUACAAACAUCUAAAAAAAGUACAAAUGUCUAAAUUCUCUUGAUAAAAUUUUAACAGCAAUUAAUUAUCAUCCAAAACAGCCAAACUUUUGUCAGGAGGGAGAGUGUUUUCUCUCAGGAAUAAUAGCUGUAAGCACAGGUGCUCUAGAAAGUUACUAUUGCAGCCUUGCCAUAGUGGCUGGAUCUUGGUGACUCCCUUGAAACCUUGUCUUGCCCCUAGCUCUGCCUGCCACUCCCUAUUCAUGCUGACUAAUCUUGCUUACAGGAGUGCCAGGAAACUUCUGGCUUCCCUGGGGUGGAGGACAAGGACAUGCUUGAUCAGACCACCAGAGUCUACCUCUGCAUUAAUCUUUUCUGUAGUUUUUAAAGAUUCUUUACUACACCUUGGUCGCAGAUGCCACCCAUUUUUUGGGAAGAGAUCCCAGUAGAAAGCGGUGUAUCAGGGCAUUGCAGAGAUAUAUAAAAAUAACAUUUAUUUAAAAUAGGUAAUGGUUAAUGCAUAAUAUAUAAAAAAAUAUACACAUCACAGAGGGUUUCUAACACCCAGACAGCUCUUGAGACCAGAGCAAUUGCAAUAGGUAUAGUCACCAGCUUCGAAGUGCUCACACAACCAAGCACCUGCAUUUUUUUCAAGACAAAAAAUGUUCUAACUGAGGAGAGUAGAUUAGCACCAGGGUUUGAUACUUUAAGCAAACACUUGGCAUUCUAAAAAUGGAGUCAUUGUUGUUCCUAUGUGGGUGAAUUAUGUUUUUGAUUCUCCAUGCCUCCUGUCAUGUGCCUUAAAGAAAUUCAAGCAGGAAUAAUCUCCCCUUUCUUUUACAUUACCUCCUCUUUCUUAGCUACUUUCUGUUAUCUUUCUCUGUUCAGCUCUUUCCCUUAUAUGCAUUCUUCUAUUUGCUUAUGCAUUCUUCUAUUUGCUA